GAUGAACGCUGGCGGCGUGCCUAAUACAUGCAAGUCGAGCGAACGGACGAGAAGCUUGCUUCUCUGAUGUUAGCGGCGGACGGGUGAGUAACACGUGGAUAACCUACCUAUAAGACUGGGAUAACUUCGGGAAACCGGAGCUAAUACCGGAUAAUAUUUUGAACCGCAUGGUUCAAAAGUGAAAGACGGUCUUGCUGUCACUUAUAGAUGGAUCCGCGCUGCAUUAGCUAGUUGGUAAGGUAACGGCUUACCAAGGCAACGAUGCAUAGCCGACCUGAGAGGGUGAUCGGCCACACGAGAACUGAGACACGGUCCAGACGCCUAAGGGAGGCAGCAGUAGGGAAUCUUCCGCAAUGGGCGAAAGCCUGACGGAGCAACGCCGAGUGAGUGAUGAAGGUCUUCGGAUCGUAAAACUCUGUUAUUAGGGAAGAACAGAUGUGUAAGUAACUGUGCACAUCUUGACGGUACCUAAUCAGAAAGCCACGGCUAACUACGUG
RNAcentral lists this ribosomal RNA (497 nucleotides) under uncultured bacterium. RNAcentral's name for it is "partial 16S ribosomal RNA". It matches the Rfam family "Bacterial small subunit ribosomal RNA", at positions 28 to 507 of the family's 1533-position model. The record is from RNAcentral.